ACAUGCCAACAUGUGACGCGUGGAAUCUACGCCAGCCACAGCAGAGAGGUGGGGGUUGUGACCGGAGUUAGAUGCCAGCGCAGAAGGGACGUGAGCCCAGCCGAGGUACCGCUGAAGAGGAAUCAAUUUUGGAGGAAUUUUGUUGUCAGAGAAUAAAAGGAGGUUGUCCAUAAUUGACUUUAAGCAGCAAUCAGUAAAACAUUGAGCUCUUCAGCUCCGCCUUUCUUGCUCUGAAAAUUGGAAAACCAAGAAGGUUUUGAUGUUUUGUGUGACGCCACCUGAAUUAGAAACCAAGAUGAACAUAACCAAAGGUGGUCUGGUGUUGUUUUCAGCAAACUCGAAUUCAUCAUGUAUGGAGCUAUCAAAGAAAAUUGCAGAAAACGAGAGUACAAAUUCAAGAGUCUGUGAGGGGAAAAGAUGUUUUCAUCAUCCAAACCGUUUCGAAGGACGUGAACACCACCAUCAUGGAGCUCCUGAUCAUGGUGUAUGCAUGUAAGACCUCUUGUGCCAAGAGCAUCAUCGGCGUGAUACCCUAC
This 536-nucleotide small RNA is filed under the name Pan troglodytes (chimpanzee). Its description in RNAcentral is "processed transcript". The record is from RNAcentral. Lineage: Eukaryota; Metazoa; Chordata; Mammalia; Primates; Hominidae.